Molecule: ribosomal RNA, 253 nt
Filed under: uncultured bacterium
Lineage: Bacteria
Description: partial 16S ribosomal RNA
Rfam family: Bacterial small subunit ribosomal RNA
Source: RNAcentral
UACGUAGGGUGCAAGCGUUAAUCGGAAUUACUGGGCGUAAAGCGUGCGCAGGCGGUUUUGUAAGUCUGUCGUGAAAGCCCCGGGCUCAACCUGGGAAUUGCGAUGGAGACUGCAAGGCUAGAGUGUGUCAGAGGGGGGUAGAAUUCCACGUGUAGCAGUGAAAUGCGUAGAUAUGUGGAGGAACACCGAUGGCGAAGGCAGCCCCCUGGGCUGACACUGACGCUCAGGCACGAAAGCGUGGGGAGCAAACAGG